UUCCUCUCAGGAUCGCAUCUGGAGAGUUUCCAAUAUUCUACCUGUCUUGACUGCAGGAGGGAGAGUCAAGCAGGGGCAUACCCAUUCCAUGCCUAGCUUGGGCAGUAGUUAGAGAGUGGAAGGCAGUUUGCUACAAGG
This is a small nucleolar RNA of Ornithorhynchus anatinus (platypus), 138 nucleotides long. NCBI's taxonomy places the organism in Eukaryota, Metazoa, Chordata, Mammalia, Monotremata, Ornithorhynchidae. The record is from RefSeq and is a predicted model, not a curated record.